GCUUGUCUCAAAGAUUAAGCCAUGCAUGUCUAAGUAUAAGCAAACUUGUACUGUGAAACUGCGAAUGGCUCAUUAUAUCAGUUAUAGUUUAUUUGAUAGUACUUACUACUUGGAUAACCGUAGUAAUUCUAGAGCUAAUACAUGCAUCAAGCCCUGACAGCAAUGAAAGGGUGGAUUUAUUAGAUACAAUCAACCCUUCGGGUGCUUGGUGAAUCAUAAUAACCGAACGAACCGCAUGCGCAAGCGGCGGUGGUUCAUUCAAGUUUCUGCCCUAUCAGCUUUCGAUGGUAGGGUAUUGGCCUACCAUGGCUUUAACGGGUAACGGAGAAUUAGGGUUCGAUUCCGGAGAGGGAGCCUGAGAGAUGGCUACCACAUCCAAGGAAGGCAGCAGG
Molecule: ribosomal RNA, 392 nt
Filed under: uncultured Bicosoecida
Lineage: Eukaryota; Bigyra; Bicosoecida
Description: partial small subunit ribosomal RNA
Rfam family: Eukaryotic small subunit ribosomal RNA
Source: RNAcentral